This is a non-coding RNA of Schistocerca piceifrons (Central American locust), 77 nucleotides long. NCBI's taxonomy places the organism in Eukaryota, Metazoa, Arthropoda, Insecta, Orthoptera, Acrididae. The record is from the annotation of a RefSeq genome assembly.
GUCCGGAUGGCGCAGGGGUUAACGCAACUGCCUUAGUAAGCAGGAGGUCCCGGGUUCGAGUCCCGGUCCGGCAUACA